UCCGUAGGUGAACCUGCGGAAGGAUCAUUAAUAAAUGCUUCAUUGCAUCCACCUUUUGUGCACCGUAAAUUUUCACUUAAACUUUGUCUGAUUUAUAUCUGUUCUGAAAGGAACAUGAAUUGUAAUCUAAUACAACUUUUAACAAUGGAUCUCUUGGCUCUCGCAUCGAUGAAGAACGCAGCGAAAUGCGAUAAGUAAUGUGAAUUGCAGAAUUCAGUGAAUCAUCGAAUCUUUGAACGCAUAUUGCGCUCUCCGGCAUUCCGGAGAGCAUGCCUGUUUGAGUCUUGGUACCAAUCUGGUGUAACCUUUGUAUAAAGGAUAGAACUUUUUAUAAAAAACUGCAUUGAGACGUCUUGAUAAGUAAAAUUGUUAAGUGUCUUAAAAUACAAUAGUACAGCUAUAGCUCACCCUCUUUGGAGUAAUAUGUGACCUGAAAGGGUAACUCUAUUUCUCCUCGUUGGGAAGACUUGUUGCUGGAAGUUUUUGAUUGCUGAACGUCAAAGGCGGCAUUCAAUUGUUCGAGUAACGACGAACUUAAAAAUUCAAGCUCAAAUCAGGUAGGAUUACCCGCUGAACUUAAGCAUAUCAAUAAGCGGAGGA
This 600-nucleotide ribosomal RNA is filed under the name Olpidium brassicae. Its description in RNAcentral is "eukaryotic LSU rRNA". The stretch from base 134 to 287 matches the Rfam family "5.8S ribosomal RNA". Lineage: Eukaryota; Fungi; Olpidiomycota; Olpidiomycetes; Olpidiales; Olpidiaceae. The record is from RNAcentral.